RNAcentral lists this ribosomal RNA (1528 nucleotides) under human gut metagenome. RNAcentral describes it as "bacterial SSU rRNA". It matches the Rfam family "Bacterial small subunit ribosomal RNA". The record is from RNAcentral.
AGAGUUUGAUCCUGGCUCAGGACGAACGCUGGCGGCGUGCCUAAUACAUGCAAGUAGAACGCUGAAGAGAGGAGCUUGCUCUUCUUGGAUGAGUUGCGAACGGGUGAGUAACGCGUAGGUAACCUGCCUUGUAGCGGGGGAUAACUAUUGGAAACGAUAGCUAAUACCGCAUAACAAUGGAUGACACAUGUCAUUUAUUUGAAAGGGGCAAUUGCUCCACUACAAGAUGGACCUGCGUUGUAUUAGCUAGUAGGUGAGGUAAUGGCUCACCUAGGCGACGAUACAUAGCCGACCUGAGAGGGUGAUCGGCCACACUGGGACUGAGACACGGCCCAGACUCCUACGGGAGGCAGCAGUAGGGAAUCUUCGGCAAUGGGGGCAACCCUGACCGAGCAACGCCGCGUGAGUGAAGAAGGUUUUCGGAUCGUAAAGCUCUGUUGUAAGUCAAGAACGAGUGUGAGAGUGGAAAGUUCACACUGUGACGGUAGCUUACCAGAAAGGGACGGCUAACUACGUGCCAGCAGCCGCGGUAAUACGUAGGUCCCGAGCGUUGUCCGGAUUUAUUGGGCGUAAAGCGAGCGCAGGCGGUUUGAUAAGUCUGAAGUUAAAGGCUGUGGCUCAACCAUAGUUCGCUUUGGAAACUGUCAAACUUGAGUGCAGAAGGGGAGAGUGGAAUUCCAUGUGUAGCGGUGAAAUGCGUAGAUAUAUGGAGGAACACCGGUGGCGAAAGCGGCUCUCUGGUCUGUAACUGACGCUGAGGCUCGAAAGCGUGGGGAGCGAACAGGAUUAGAUACCCUGGUAGUCCACGCCGUAAACGAUGAGUGCUAGGUGUUGGAUCCUUUCCGGGAUUCAGUGCCGCAGCUAACGCAUUAAGCACUCCGCCUGGGGAGUACGACCGCAAGGUUGAAACUCAAAGGAAUUGACGGGGGCCCGCACAAGCGGUGGAGCAUGUGGUUUAAUUCGAAGCAACGCGAAGAACCUUACCAGGUCUUGACAUCCCGAUGCUAUUUCUAGAGAUAGAAAGUUACUUCGGUACAUCGGUGACAGGUGGUGCAUGGUUGUCGUCAGCUCGUGUCGUGAGAUGUUGGGUUAAGUCCCGCAACGAGCGCAACCCCUAUUGUUAGUUGCCAUCAUUCAGUUGGGCACUCUAGCGAGACUGCCGGUAAUAAACCGGAGGAAGGUGGGGAUGACGUCAAAUCAUCAUGCCCCUUAUGACCUGGGCUACACACGUGCUACAAUGGUUGGUACAACGAGUUGCGAGUCGGUGACGGCGAGCUAAUCUCUUAAAGCCAAUCUCAGUUCGGAUUGUAGGCUGCAACUCGCCUACAUGAAGUCGGAAUCGCUAGUAAUCGCGGAUCAGCACGCCGCGGUGAAUACGUUCCCGGGCCUUGUACACACCGCCCGUCACACCACGAGAGUUUGUAACACCCGAAGUCGGUGAGGUAACCUUUUGGAGCCAGCCGCCUAAGGUGGGACAGAUGAUUGGGGUGAAGUCGUAACAAGGUAGCCGUAUCGGAAGGUGCGGCUG